RNAcentral lists this ribosomal RNA (478 nucleotides) under uncultured bacterium. RNAcentral describes it as "partial 16S ribosomal RNA". It matches the Rfam family "Bacterial small subunit ribosomal RNA", at positions 28 to 507 of the family's 1533-position model. The record is from RNAcentral.
GAUGAACGCUGGCGGCGUGCUUAACACAUGCAAGUCGAACGAGAAGUGGAGACGGAAACCUUCGGGCGGAAGACUUUAUUUCGAGUGGCGGACGGGUGAGUAACGCGUGGGUAACCUGCCUCAUACAGGGGGAUAACAGUUGGAAACGACUGUUAAUACCGCAUAAGACCACAGCACCGCAUGGUGCGGGGGUAAAAACUCCGGUGGUAUGAGAUGGACCCGCGUUCGAUUAGCCAGUUGGCGGGGUAACGGCCCACCAAAGCGACGAUCGAUAGCCGAUCUGAGAGGAUGACCGGCCACAUUGGGACUGAGACACGGCCCAAACUCCUACGGGAGGCAGCAGUGGGGAAUAUUGCACAAUGGGGGAAACCCUGAUGCAGCGGCGCCGCGUGAGUGAAGAAGUAUUUCGGUAUGUAAAGCUCUAUCAGCAGGGAAGAAAAUGACGGUACCUGAGUAAGAAGCCCCGGCUAACUACGUG